GACGGAGGAUGCAAGCGUUAUCCGGAAUGAUUGGGCGUAAAGCGUCCGCAGGUGGCGAUGUAAGUCUGCUGUUAAAGAGUGAGGCUCAACCUCAUAAGAGCAGUGGAAACUACAUAGCUAGAGUGCGGUAGGGGCAGAGGGAAUUCCUGGUGUAGCGGUGAAAUGCGUAGAGAUCAGGAAGAACACCGGUGGCGAAAGCGCUCUGCUAGGCCGCAACUGACACUGAGGGACGAAAGCUAGGGGAGCGAAUGGG
Molecule: ribosomal RNA, 253 nt
Filed under: uncultured bacterium
Lineage: Bacteria
Description: partial 16S ribosomal RNA
Rfam family: Bacterial small subunit ribosomal RNA
Source: RNAcentral